Molecule: unclassified non-coding RNA, 431 nt
Filed under: soil metagenome
Description: partial contains 5.8S ribosomal RNA, internal transcribed spacer 2, and large subunit ribosomal RNA
Rfam family: 5.8S ribosomal RNA (bases 1-120)
Source: RNAcentral
GAUGAAGAACGUAGCGAAAUGCGAUACGUAAUGUAAAUUGCAGAAUUCAGUGAAUCAUCGAAUCUUUGAACGCAUAUUGCGCUCUCUGGUAUUCCGGAGAGCAUGCUUGUUUGAGUAUCAGUAAACACCUCAACUUCCAUAUCUUUUUUGAAAUGGGAGUUGGACUUGAGUGAUCCCAACGCUUUUCCUCACCGAAAAGUGGCGGGUUACUUGAAAUGCAGGUGCAGCUGGACUUUUCUCUGAGCUAUAAGCAUAUCUAUUUAGUCUGCCUAAAAACAGAUUAUUACCUUUGCUGCAGCUAACAUAAAGGAGAUUAGUUCUUGUGCUGACUGAUGCAGGAUUCACAAAGACAGGCUUCGGCCGACUUUGUAAACUCGAUCUCAAAUCAAGUAAGACUACCCGCUGAACUUAAGCAUAUCAAUAAGCGAGGA